This 492-nucleotide ribosomal RNA is filed under the name uncultured bacterium. RNAcentral's name for it is "partial 16S ribosomal RNA". It matches the Rfam family "Bacterial small subunit ribosomal RNA", at positions 28 to 507 of the family's 1533-position model. The record is from RNAcentral.
GAUGAACGCUGGCUACAGGCUUAACACAUGCAAGUCGAGGGGAAACGGCAUCGAAAGCUUGCUUUUGAUGGGCGUCGACCGGCGCACGGGUGAGUAACGCGUAUCCAACCUGCCCAUCACUUGGGAAUAACCUUGCGAAAGUAAGACUAAUGCCUAAUGACAUCCCACGAAGGCAUCCGAAUGGGAUUAAAGAUUUAUCGGUGAUGGAUGGGGAUGCGUCUGAUUAGCUUGUUGGCGGGGUGACGGCCCACCAAGGCAACGAUCAGUAGGGGUUCUGAGAGGAAGGUCCCCCACAUUGGAACUGAGACACGGUCCAAACUCCUACGGGAGGCAGCAGUGAGGAAUAUUGGUCAAUGGGCGAGAGCCUGAACCAGCCAAGUAGCGUGCAGGAUGACGGCCCUAUGGGUUGUAAACUGCUUUUAUAAGGGAAUAAAGUGGGUCACGUGUGACUUUUUGCAUGUACCUUAUGAAUAAGGACCGGCUAAUUCCGUG